AGUGAACGCUGGCGGUAGGCCUAACACAUGCAAGUCGAACGGCAGCACAGUAAGAGCUUGCUCUUACGGGUGGCGAGUGGCGGACGGGUGAGGAAUACAUCGGAAUCUACUUUUUCGUGGGGGAUAACGUAGGGAAACUUACGCUAAUACCGCAUAUGACCUACGGGUGAAAGCAGGGGAUCUUCGGACCUUGCGCGAUUGAAUGAGCCGAUGUCGGAUUAGCUAGUUGGCGGGGUAAAGGCCCACCAAGGCGACGAUCCGUAGCUGGUCUGAGAGGAUGAUCAGCCACACUGGAACUGAGACACGGUCCAGACUCCUACGGGAGGCAGCAGUGGGGAAUAUUGGACAAUGGGCGAAAGCCUGAUCCAGCCAUACCGCGUGGGUGAAGAAGGCCUUAGGGUUGUAAAGCCCUUUUGUUGGGAAAGAAAAGCAGCAGGUUAAUACCCCGCUGUUCUGACGGUACCCAAAGAAUAAGCACCGGCUAACUUCGUG
RNAcentral lists this ribosomal RNA (492 nucleotides) under uncultured bacterium. RNAcentral's name for it is "partial 16S ribosomal RNA". It matches the Rfam family "Bacterial small subunit ribosomal RNA", at positions 29 to 507 of the family's 1533-position model. The record is from RNAcentral.